UACGUAGGUGGCGAGCGUUGUCCGGAAUUACUGGGUGUAAAGGGCGUGUAGGCGGGGAGACAAGUCAGAUGUGAAAUACCGAGGCUUAACUUCGGGGGUGCAUCUGAAACUGUUUUUCUUGAGUGUCGGAGAGGAAAGUGGAAUUCCUAGUGUAGCGGUGAAAUGCGUAGAUAUUAGGAGGAACACCAGUGGCGAAGGCGACUUUCUGGACGAUAACUGACGCUGAGGCGCGAAAGCGUGGGGAGCAAACAGGAUUAGAGACCCUGGGAGUCCACGCCGUAAACGAUGGAUACUAGGUGUAGGAGGUAUCGACCCCUUCUGUGCCGCAGUUAACACAAUAAGUAUCCCACCUGGGGAGUACGGCCGCAAGGUUGAA
This 376-nucleotide ribosomal RNA is filed under the name uncultured bacterium. RNAcentral describes it as "bacterial SSU rRNA". It matches the Rfam family "Bacterial small subunit ribosomal RNA", at positions 524 to 898 of the family's 1533-position model. The record is from RNAcentral.